GCGGUGCUGGCCCACCUUUCCCCCCGCCCCCCCGCCCCAGUUGCCAGAGCGCCGGCGCGAGGCGAGGAGGGGCGUGCCCGGGACUGACCCCCGCGCCCCGGCCUUUUGCCCGCUCACGCGCCGACCCGCGACCCUGGUGCGGGGGGGCUUCCCGAGGGCCUCUACUGGUCCGAGGUUCGCUGCCGGACCGUGCUCGGGCCACGAGCCGGAGGACCGCUAGUCUCGCCGCCGUGGGCACCUCCGGCCGCGGCUGCGACGUGGGCGUCCAGCCUUCGGACUGGGAACCCACAGGAGACGCCUAGGAAGGGGAAAGGCCUGGAAAACUGAGCCGGCCCCAGAAGGGGUGAACGUUUGGUGAGCGGCCGAGGCUCAUAGCCGUGGGGAUCGCGGGAUACGGAAGUUCUCGAGGUGUCUGGUGUAUCGGUACGAAUGUCCGCUCAGGUAGAUUGCCUAUAUUCUCCUCAUCUCAGCACCAAGACCCAGCUCUACCCAACAGUCUACAGACUCCAGUGUUGGAAGACUCGGACCAAACAACCAGCUGCUUCGGGUCUUAGUUGCAGCAUGCGGACUUCUUAGUUGCGGCAUGUGGGAUCUAACUCCCCGACCAGGGAUCAAACUCGGGCCCGCUGCAUUGGGAGGGCUGAGUCUUAUCCACUGGAACACCAGACAGGACAAGAGGAGCAUUUGCAGAAGUGAUGCUGGAGGUGAGAGUCGAAGGAUAAACAGGAGUUAACCAGAAAGGCCAUCACAGGAAGAGAGAACAGCACGGCCACACACUUGGAAGUGCAAAGGGCAAGCCCUUUCUUUAGCGCCUGACUCCCCAUCAAACAUACACCAACUCAAGCCAAGCAACCAACCAGCUAUGGGAACGGCCACCAUCGGAGGCAUUUUUCCUGAUCACUCUCCCAUUCAUCGGAUUGAACUAAUUGCUCCUGGUUUUUGACUGUCUCUCCAAUCCCUCCUGUUCUGACACCCGAUUUAAACCCAGUUCUCCACCUCGGAGGUUUAUCAGUGUAUUGAUCACAAUUUUGUACUUGAACUUUGACUCUCUGCCCUCACAGCCAUGAGGCAGAGGUUCAUUCUGACCCCUUGGAACGAUCCUCAGCAAGCCAGUGCCACCUGACCUCCCCACAGGGGAAGGGGAUCGGCCGUUCCUGCCUCGACUGAACCGGUGAACGGCAGAAGCAUUGAUCUCAGAAAAAGAAAGUGAGGAACACUCUGGGGGAAGAUUAUUUCAGUUCUGAAUAUACUGACCCUGAGGUUCCAAAGGGCCAGCCUAGCAGACAUUAACCAAGGCUAUCAAAAUGCGGCCCUGCGGGCUUCCCUGGUGGCGCAGUGGUUGGGAGUCCGCCUGCCGAUGCAGGGGGCACGGGUUUGUUCCCCGGUCCCGGAAGAUCCCACAUGCCGCGGAGCGGCUGGGCCCGUGGGCCAUGGCCACUGGGCCUGCGCGUCCGGAGCCUGUGCUCCGCAACCGGAGAGGCCACAACAGUGAGAGGCCUGCGUACCGCAAAAAAAAAAAAAAAAAAAAAAUGUGGUCCUGGAGUAUAGGAGAACGUUCUGAGCUAGAGAUGGAGAUAUGAUGUGGGUGUAUGCAGAAAAGAAUUCACGUAGAAGCCUCAGACUGUCCUCGGAAAGCCCUGUGUGCAAGGUUGACCCUUGGCUAGCAUCCAGGAACUUGAUGUGGGGGUGUCCCCACUGUUCCCUGACAGGCGUGUCUCGAUGGGCCUGAACUAUCUGUGCAAAUCAUCUGGUUUAUGCUGAACACCUGCUUCACUCCCAGGAGCCUGGAAUUUUGGUACACGCCAGGCAGAGGAUGCCUACACGCCCAGCCCUCAAUAAAUUUCAGCCACUGAGUCAGCGAUGAGCUUCCCUGGGAGAAAACACUUUCCCCACGUUGUCACAUUCGAUGCUGGAGGAACUAAGUACGUCUGUGUGACUCCACAGGGACAGGAGUCUUGGAAGCUGGCCUGGCUUCCUCCAGACUUUGUCCCAUGUGCCUUUCCCCUUUGCUGACUGUGCUUUGUCUUCUUUCCCCGUAAUAUAUCUGAGCUGUAAGCACGACCGUAUGCUGAGUCCUGAGUCCUAGCCAACCACUAACCUGGAAGUGGUCUGGGGAAACUCCAACACAGGGAGUUGUCAGGAACACCGGGUAAUUCAGUGCUGGGAAUUAGAAUGGAAUUGAUCCCCUCCCAAUCUACGUGGUUGCAGUGGACUGGCCACAUGACCUGACCCCAGUUGGUCAGAGUGCAAUGGUCCCUUGGCCUCAUCCUGCAGACAAAAAUGAAGAUGGUGCCCUCCGACUGUAAAGCACACUGGUCUGAAAUGCAGCAAAGGGUCAAGGGAAGAUUAACGAAAGGCUCCCGGCUAUGCCAGAAACAAUACCUUAUUUAACUAAGAUUUAGAGCCAUAGAAGGAUACUCCUGACAAAAUCUGAAAAACAAACAGAAACCUAAGGAGUUAUGGCCAUGGCUAUUCCCCCAAGCAGAUCAAGGAUAAGACAAGAUUUCUGGCAUUGGAUUCAAGACCGCAAAUGAGAUUGUUAAGGACCUGAGGACAGUUUUAAGGCAGCUGUGCUGUCACAGAAGCCUCAGCCGGUUCCACAGUUAUGACUGUUCAACCUUGCAGCAGGGCCCGAACCAAGCGUGCAUAUCCAACCUGCUCACCAGCACCCCCCAAACCCUCCCGCCCGUGCCUUCGUUGGUGCCACCACCAGCGCCAACAGGGAAUUCCUCCCUCAGGGACUCUCUGAAGGGGCCCUGACUCAGGAUCUGAACCAGCCAUAGUGGCUGACCAAACACGUCCAGCUAAGUGGGGCAGCAAAGAGAUGCCAUGAGACUGUUUCUGUCGUUCAUCCUACUAAGCUUGCUCAACAAGGCCUGGUGUGUAUUCUGCACCAGUAAUCGAUGUGCUCAGGGACAUGUCCUUCCCCCUUUCUAGUUUGAUCUUGAUUCCACUUCACUCUAGCAGGUAGAUACAAGCUACAUUUAUCAUGUAUCCCAUAAGCUGGAGGGUGAGGAGUUGAAAUUAAACCUGAUCAAAUCCAAGCUAAUGAACUAGAGAAAGCCCGCGUGCAGCAACGAAGACCCAACGCAGCCAACAAUAAAUAAUUUUUUUUAAAAAAAGCUUAUUGUCAAAUCCAAGCUCACGGAAGAACGGACACCAUCCAGAGAACUUGAACUCAAAAUUGUGACACUUCACGAUACAGAAGCUACACAUGCCCUUGGACUGUCUCCCACCGGGAAAAUGUGAACAUGUCUGAAGCUGCACAGAAGAUAGUUGGAUUAUAGUCAAGUAGGACCAUGAUUAAAUAUGUAAUUGUCUUCAAAUGAGACAUUAAUAGAGGAAAAGUAUGCCUGAAAGUGUUGAGUUUCCAGAAGAAGUGUGACUGUUGUUUUUUUAAAAAUGAAAAAAGAGAAAGAAGACUAUAGGGGCCAGCUCAAGAGUCUCCAGAGAUGUAAUGCUCAAAAUAAAACAACAAACAUAUUUGCUGAAAGUAUUUAUGGAUCCCCAAUUAUCACAAGGGCAGAUACAUCAGGGCCUAAUACACUCCGUCACUGAAAAGCACCCCAAAACUGUCUGCCGACAUCAAGGAAACGAUCACCACCACUGCCAUUCAGCCAUGUCCUUUAGAACGUGGAACAUUUGGCCCUCUCGAUGAGAGCCGGCUCUGGCUUCGUGGGAAAUCAUCUCCUGCAUCUGUGCUGAGAGAGAUCCCAGGUCUCUGAUUGCCAGCGUCAUACAAGGUUGAGGGAGAGACCCUACAGGGGUCUGCUGCCACUGCAAAGCUUAUCACAAAUAAUUCAACAAAAGAAUGCCUGAAUACUCAGCUCUACUAAGAUGCAACAUUUGACUGGAUCCAGCAUGUCACCCGUUGUUUGCUGUACUGGACCCUAAGACAGGCUCCCGACAGACAGGGCACGUGCAAUUCUCUGAGAGCCACCGGUCGAUACAGUGGAUGUGAAAUUCAUGCAUGCAAGGUAACUGCCUGAGCUUGUUUCCAGUUACGUAGUCACUGAUGCAAACACUACAGGUUUUCCCUAGUUCGCUAUCGAUACUGCUGUGCUCAUAGUUCCGGGUGGAAAGAUUGUCAAUCUGCCCUUUGGUUAAACCACGUGUGCGGUCAUCAUCCUCCCUUUCAUUAAGCAAGAAGGUACCAAGGUGAAGGAUAGGUAGGGUGCCAGUUUCGACUAAGUUACUUGAAUUUCGCGACUGCCUGCCACCUCUGUUUGGGGCACGAGGCGGGGUGUUAGGGCUGUCUUCUCGGGUCCACCUGCCUUGGGAGGACCCUCCCCUGUGCUGGCUGACGGCCUCACCGAGGAGACUCACUUCUGAGUGUGUCUCUGGCCGAUGCUGACCACUUGUCUGAGCCUCUGACUCAUAUUCGGCCUCCACUAGAGAACUCAGUUCUCCAAGUCCAUUCACGAUCUGCCUUACAAUUGAUCGAAGAACCACCGAUGAUGGUUCAGCGAGCUCAUUCUCAGAAAUCCUAUGAAGAGGAACAGUUAUGGUAGUGACGGAGGAUCGCAUACCUGAGCGCUCUAAACGAGAGCCGGUGCGCCGAAAGCCCCCACUACUGCUUUCCACAGUGAUUGUGUCUUCUGGCAGCCCCACCCUAGAUCGAGUUCUGUUUGCAAUACUGUCCCAGUCUCUGCUUUCUCCAGGAGGAAUCCUUCUCAGUUGAAGGUUCAUUGUGACUGCUGGAUGUCGUCGUGCAGCAGUGGAGGACCUGCUGGACUCUCCUUCUUCUUCUCCUGUGGCUCUUGACCCAAGUCUUGAGUUAGAGAAUGGAGUAUAUGCGGUACCUCUGCCUUCUCGGUCUUGCUGUGGAAAGACACGAGAUCUACCUCUCCUCCUAACAGACCGCAUACUAGUUUGCUGAAAAGGUCUACUUUCCCUUUGUGAACUAGGAUAAACAGUGCCACUUUGCCUCUGAAUUGGUGACCGGCUUCGGCUACUGCGUAAUCUUAUUGGCUCUAAUCUUUGGUUUGUAUUCCUCACUGUGACAUUGGUUCUAGCCCCAUUUUCCCAAACAUGGGCUGCUCCAAAUCGCUGCCCCUCCCUUUGCCUGAGUUCACUACCACCUGAUGGACGACUGAAAUUAGUGCGUGGAGCACUAGUUGUAGGGGUGCCAACCGCCCCCCCAAUUCCAUUUCUUAAUCUUCCGAAUGCUGACAAAGAUCCUUCUACUGAAUUCCGCCCCCUCGAUCCAAGCCUAGCUCUCGGAACGCUGGCACCACUACCACUGAGGUUCCCUGCAGCUCGGCUCCUUGUUCGCCUGGCCACAGGACUACUUGAUCUCUGCGGCCCAUCUGUAGUGUGAUCUUGGCUGACAUCUGAAAGUGGAACGCCCACAUAAUCUUCGCCAUCCAUUUCAAAUCCUCUAUCCUCGUGAUUGAUGUGGAUUUCCAGACUAAAUUGGAACUCUCCACUGUGUGGGUUUGUUCGACUCCCAGCUCUCCAAGUCUGGUUCCCAUUCUGUCCACUUCGAGUUGCGUUUCUCCUGAGAGGAAAGGUGUUGAUCCAUUCCAGCAGAGACUGUUCACGUGAACUUUCUCGAGGGACCCCUGAGUCUGGAAAGCAAACCAAAUCAACUUAACAUCAAUUCCUAAAAUCUAUCUUUAGAUCUUUACUGAAAGCUUGUAAGAUAAACUAAGUUUUUAUUAAAUUAAAAAUAUAAUUAAGAACAUCAGUGCAUUUUAAUGAAUGAAAAACGGCCAAAAAACUGAACUUUCUAAAAGAAAGGUGUAUACUAUAAGCAUACUAUAAUAUACACUGUAUCAAAAUUAUAAACUUUUAAAUACUAUUUGUGCAAAGGUGUGAAGAAAUCCUCACUUUUGCUUUCUAUAUGCCUGUUAUUGGCAAAAUAUUAAGGCAAAUGAAAAAUAUAUCCAGUAUCAAAACUGUACAUUUAAAUUGCUUUAUUGGGACUUGCCUGGUGGCACAGUGGAUAAGACUCCACGCUCCCAAUGCAGGGGGCCUGGGUUUGAUCCCUGGUCAGGGAACUAGAUCCCACAUGCAUGCUGCAGCUAAGAGUUUGCAUGCCACAACUAAGGAGCCCACCUGCCACAACUAAGACCCGCUGCAACUAACUAAAUAAAAAUAAAUAUUUAAAAAAUUGCUUUAUUCAUAUGGCAGUAUCAAUAAAAUACAGUGGCAAAACUUAUAUAUAAUUUAUCUUGAAUUUUUAGAAUUCUUUGGUAAAGGUAACUCAAUCUUUUUUGCAGUUAGGUAUUUUGGUAACCUUAAGAAUUUUAUCCUAUUUCUCAGAAACUGCCAAAAAUGUAUAAGCCAAGAAAUAUGGCUUUAUGAGUAAACUGUUAGAACCACAUUAUAUCUUCGUAUGAAGAUAGGAAACUUCAGGCAUGUUACUUAAGUUCUCUGGCUAAAUCCUUAUCUGUAAAUUUGAUAAUAAUCGUAUAGAUGUCAAAGGAUUAUCAUGAGGAUAAAAUAAGAUACUGUAUAUAAAAUGAUUAGUAUAAUAUCUGGCACAUAGGAAGCACUCAAUAAAUGUUAGCCAUUAUAUAUAAUACAAUAAAAUACAUUCUCUGUUCAUUUAGAACAUGAGCUGCAUGAAGACAAUGAGUUUUGCCUUAUUUUACUCACUGUUAAAUCCCCAACCCCUACAACAGUAUUUGGGACAAAUCAGACUGUCAGUUAAUACUGUUGAAUGAAUCGAUUUAGAAAUAAAUGUGCCCUGGGACUUCCCUGGUGGUGCAGUGGUUAAGAAUCCACCCGCUAAUGCAGGGGACACGGGUUUGAUCCCUGGUCCAGGAAGAUCCCACAUGCCGCGGAGCAGUUAAGCCUGUGCACCGCAACUCCUGAGCCUGCGCUCUAGAGCCCGCGAGCCACAAUUACUGAGCCCAUGGGCCGCAACUACUGAAGCCCGUGUGCCUAGAGCCCGUGCUCCACAACAAGAGAAGCCACCGCAAUGAGAAGCCUGCGCACCACAACGGAGAGCAGCCUCCGCUCACUGCAACCAGAGAAAGCCCACACCCAGCAACGAAGACCCAACACAGCCAAAAAUAAAAUAAAAUUAAAAAAAUAUAUACAUUUUAAAAAAAAGAAAGAAAGAAAUGUGCCCCUAAUAAACUUCUUUGAGUAUGUCAGUGCUACUGUGGGAAGCUUUAAGUUUUCCAUUUUAACCAGUGGAUUAGAUAAAGUACAAAACUCAAUGAAAAGCAUUCUAAUGCACAUUAGCUACACAGACUUUACCAAGUUCAUUCUUCUCAAAAACAGUUGUUAAAUGAGACUGCUUUGAUUUUAUUUCAUUACUCCAAUCUCUCAUAAAAAUUUUUUUUAAAUAUUAAAGCUAAACCUGUUAAUCAGCUGCUGGCAUCAAUAAAAAUAGCAACUUCAGCCAUAUUCUAAAGGUAUAAGCUAUUUCACAUGUGAUGAGUACAUUUUCCCUUAAAACAUAUUCAAAGGACCAGUAUUACCAGCUAUACCAAUAUAGUACAAUUUGCAUAUCUAAACAUAAAGAAGAAAAAGGGUUAAUAUCCACUUUCCAUUUUAAUUUGCAAAAAGAUAUUAGUAAAGGGCAGGUAAACAUUAAGUCAUUCUAGAUGCCACUUCUUUCUUUAAUUACUAGAAUAUAGUGAUGGCAGUGUGUGAAAGAGGUCACUCAUAUCUCACAAAAUCCGUCACCCCAUUCUUCCACUGGAAAUGCACUGAAGUGGUCCUGUGAACAACCUGGCAUCUGGGUGUGGCCCCGGGACUAAGUUCUCAUCAAUCGAACGGGAGUGGAAGUGAGAGAGCUCAUUUUCAGGCAGGGGCCUAGGCCUUCUCUUGGAACCUGGAACUGCCAGCUGGAAACUAGAAGUGGCUGUGACUUAGCUUGAUCACGCAAACCAUACCCUGGAGCAGCAGUCAGUGCCCAGUGAACCUUUCUGCAACAGUGGAGAUGUUCUGUACCUGUGCUGUCCAAUACAGAAGCCACUAGCCACAGUGGACUAUUAAACACUUGAACGUGGCUAAUGUGACUGAGGAACUGAAUUUUCAAUUUUAUUAAAUUUAAAUAAGCCCAUGUGGCCAGUAGCUACUGCACUGGACAGCACAGUUGUAGAACCACUGUGCUGGCUGUGUGGGUCCCAGAAGGCUUUAUGGAUUAACAUGUGUCUGCCCUGGACUGUGAGCACAAAACAAAAGUAAACUUCUAUCUCAUCAGCGAAUGCAUUUGGGGUUUUUAAUAGUCUUCACCCUAACUAAUACCAUGAUCUUGAUAUAAUAUGUGAAACUACUACUAAUGAACACCUCUGGAGAAGGAAGUAGAACUGGUAAGAGGGACCUUAAAGUUGGCUUUACCUUUAACUCUAUACACUUCUGUUUAGUUUGAAUUUUGGUUUUUUUACAAGUGAUUUGUUUUUUUAUAAGAACUUCUUAUAUUACGACUUAGUGUCUGUUCAGUAAAAUGACACAACACAAAACCAAUAAAACAAAGCAACAAAAAUAGGUUUUCCUGACUCAGUCUUUCUGUAUUGUUCUGUAUAAAUUUUU
This is a long non-coding RNA of Mesoplodon densirostris (Blainville's beaked whale), 8493 nucleotides long. RefSeq lists it as uncharacterized. The record is from RefSeq and is a predicted model, not a curated record. The transcript is spliced from 6 exons. NCBI's taxonomy places the organism in Eukaryota, Metazoa, Chordata, Mammalia, Artiodactyla, Ziphiidae.